UACGAAGGGGGCUAGCGUUGUUCGGAGUUAUUGGGCGUAAAGAGCUCGUAGGCGGCUUGUCGCGUCGACUGUGAAAACCCGUGGCUCAACCAUGUGGUCUGCAGUCGAUACGGGCAGGCUAGAAUUCGGUAGGGGAGACUGGAAUUCCUGGUGUAGCGGUGAAAUGCGCAGAUAUCAGGAGGAACACCGGUGGCGAAGGCGGGUCUCUGGGCCGAUAUUGACGCUGAGGAGCGAAAGCGUGGGGAGCGAACAGG
This 254-nucleotide ribosomal RNA is filed under the name uncultured bacterium. Its description in RNAcentral is "partial 16S ribosomal RNA". It matches the Rfam family "Bacterial small subunit ribosomal RNA", at positions 524 to 776 of the family's 1533-position model. The record is from RNAcentral.